Nelumbo nucifera (sacred lotus) is the source of this 576-nucleotide non-coding RNA. The record is from RefSeq and is a predicted model, not a curated record. Lineage: Eukaryota; Viridiplantae; Streptophyta; Magnoliopsida; Proteales; Nelumbonaceae.
GGGAUGAGAUCAAGAGAGAGAUAAAAGCUGCAAGAGGAACAACAACUCACUACUGAACCAGGAAUGUGAAAGAAAGAAAUGGGAUGGUUAGCGUUGCUCUUCUUCUUCUACCUUCUUUGUCUACCAUCAUCUUCUUCUUUAAGCGAUACCUCAGUUUCAGCUUGUGUGCAGCAACAUUUUGUAGGGAAAAAUGAGACAAUGUCAACAAAGAAAGAACCAGCUUGCUAUACAUCGGUCAGCCGGCGUGGUGGUCACAGUGGACAAGGUGGUGAAAGGAGUCACGGCCCCAUUUAAGGGGCAAUAGUGGUGAUGGUGGUAAUUUGAAUGAUGAGAGAUCAAAAUUUCCGAUAUUUGUGAUAGCUGGCGCGACCACAGCCAACAACCACCGUAAUUCCAAUUAUAACGCCGGAACUAGCAAAAGCAGCUACUACUCUGGGCUAACAAUAUGGGUGGCCGCCUUAUUGUCCUCACUUGUUUUACAGUUAAAUGGCUACGGGAUGUAAUGACUGAUUUCUUAGAUGAACAUUAGCAUUAAGAGAUUGCACAAAUUAAAAGAAGCGAAACUGUUUUCAGAUC